GAGCCGGAGUAGACGGAUCCGCGGCUGCACCAAACCACUGCCCCUCGGAGCCUGGUAGUGGGCCACAAGCCCCCAGUCCCAGAGGCGUGAUUUUCUGGCAUCCUUAAAUCUUGUGUCGAGGAUUGAUUAUAACCAGAAACCAUGACGGCAGCUGAGAAUGUGUGCUACACGUUAAUUAACGUGCCAAUGGAUUCAGAACCACCAUCUGAAAUUAGCUUAAAAAAUGACCUAGAUUCAUGCAGUCUGCAUUAACUCAAUUGGUUAGGAACCAGAAAUCUAAUCCAGUGCCUUCAUAUUAUAUAUAAAGAGUCUGAUUUCCAGAGAUAAAUGACUUGAGCAAAGACAGCUUAUUUGGUGGAGAACCCUUGUCACUUGGAAAAAGGAGACGUAAAGUCAAAGACUGAAGCUUUGAAGAAAGUGAUCAUUAUGAUUCUGAAUGGUGAAAAGCUUCCUGGACUUCUGAUGACCAUCAUUCGUUUUGUGCUACCUCUUCAGGAUCACACUAU
This 506-nucleotide small RNA is filed under the name Pongo abelii (Sumatran orangutan). RNAcentral describes it as "processed transcript". Lineage: Eukaryota; Metazoa; Chordata; Mammalia; Primates; Hominidae. The record is from RNAcentral.